Molecule: long non-coding RNA, 8432 nt
Organism: Parus major (Great Tit)
Lineage: Eukaryota; Metazoa; Chordata; Aves; Passeriformes; Paridae
Exons: 2
Source: RefSeq, a predicted model, not a curated record
AAUAACAAAUCCCUGCUUUCAUUUUGCAGUCUAAAGCUUUUCUUUAGACUGAAAUUCAGGCACAUACUACUAAAAGUUACUUGUCACUAGUACACAAGAGCUUCCAAUUCCAACUGUUUUGCUUGCUCUUAGCAUUCUCAUUUUACUGUCAGGAGCAAAAACUCUGCUCUUAUAAAAAGCAAGAGCAGCGUUUCAGUUAUGGUUAUCUAUUGAUUCAGUUACACUUGAAUUGAUCUCAAAUUGUUUCAAGCAACUGUUCUGCACCCAAAACACCACAUGAACCACAGAAACCAGAUCAAUAGAUUUCAAGUGAAAUAAUUGUUUUCCUUUGUAAGACCCCAUUACUCCUUGAAUGCAGAACUGUUUGAUUGACCUCCAGGAAAGCAGCAGAUGUGAAUAAGCCAAGCACCUCGGGCCUUAUCGGUUAAAGCGAGGCCUUGGAAAAGCCAUGGAAGCUCAGGGAACGGGCUCGGAGCUGUGGGAAAGGCACAGCUGGAAAAGCAGCAAAGCUGGGUUUGAUAACAGGAGAGCAGUCAGACACAGAGGGAAAAACCAGACUUUGGGAGUUAGUAAUAUUUCACUAGUCAAGGAAAUAAUUCAAGUUUUCUCCAGUGAUUGGUUUGAUUUACACAGUAUUGGUAUUAGUGAGAUUUUGGUCCUGUUUUGUGAAAUUUCACACCACUGUGCCACUGAAGUAAUUUUUUCCCAGUUCCUUAUUAAAUAAUUGUAAGGCUUUGUGAAGACAAUAAUUUCCAGAUUACCAAUUUCCAGUUCAGCAGCUGAGGAAAUCAGGGGCAGCGCCUGAAUUCCACUGGCACGGUAAGAUUUAUACCAGAUUAACAAUUGAGUGGUGUGCCUGAAGCGAGAUUUGAUUUCUUUUAAUAAUACUGAAAACAAACUGAAUGCUCAGAUUAGAGCUUAGAAUGUUUUUGUAAGGAAUCUUGGUUGGCUCCUUGCAGGUAUUAGACCCGGUCUGAGCUUUACCCUUUUACGAGCGCAAUUAACUGCAAACACCUUGUCAUAAACAUCGCAAAAGGUCAAAGAGAUUGCAACAAUUUUGCUAAAGAGAUAAAUGGUCAAAUAAAACAUUGAAUUGUUAAUUCCCAGGUGACAAAAAGCUGCAUGAGUCAGAUCAAUAGAAAGACAUACAGAACGAAUUCUGGGAUAAAGGGCGGAUCAACCUUGAAGUGUUAUUAACUCGCUCCUGUUGUUUUGCUGGGGCACAUCCUGUGUUCCAGCAGGUAACAGGGCUCUGAACAGCAAAUUGAUGCUCCCAGAACUAAAACUGGGCAGCAGAGAUUGUUGGAACAAAAAGUUCUGGAAGGAUUCAGCUCUAUUAACUUGGAUUUUAUUAAAUAUUGUUGGACACAUGCAGCCUUAUUUAGCAGUGAGGUAGAAUGGGCUCCUGUUUGCUGCUUAUUUUUAGAAUAUUAGGAAGGAUUUCAGGCUGUUGGGAGGGCACCACCUGAAGAAAUCCCUUCUCAAAACUAUUCCAUUUUUGGGACCCCUCCAGAGCAGAUCACAAGAUGGAAAGUUAUAUGCAAAUCAAAUCAUCUCAGCCUUAGUUAAUUAGGGACAUUUACAAGUAAAAGAGAGGCUUUUCCUAAAAAAAGACUAAGCUACUCAUGGAAGAGAAAGCAUGGAAAAUUGUAAAAUGCUAUCACAAAUCAGCAACCCUCAUAUGCAGUGGAAAAUAUCUACCAGUAUCCACAGCAAGGAACUGAGGAACUCAAACUAUCCCAAAGCAUUAAACAAUAUAUAAAUAUAAAAUACAGUAAAUAAAUAUAAAACACUGCAAUGCCUGUAAUGAUCCCAUUGGACACUUGAAAAUGAACAUUUCAAAGGUCAGGAAUUUUACUUCUGCCAAAUUGGACACCAGUAAUUUGUGUGAGACCAAAAGUCAAAUAUCAGUGUAAAUUCCCCCAGUCAUAUGCAAAUGUAAUCACCCUGUGCCUCUAACAGCAGUUUUAUGUCAGCCAGCAUGAAAAAUGUGGAGAAAUCCCAUCAAGCACGUUGGGCUUAGGGAUAUAAGUAACACAAGACAUUACAUGACAAACAUCUGUGCUGUACAAAUGCCAUGAAAAUAUAUUUUACACUGACAGCAAAUUUUAAGGUGCUGUUAACUACUCAUUCAAUGAUUUUCAUAAAUGAAAAGAAGCUCUCCUCUUGGAGUGCACUUCAGAAAUAUUUAUAUUUACAUAAAACUCGUGGCAACUUUGAGGUGUAAUUUUAGCUUUGAAAAGAGGAAGGCAAAAUUUGUGGUUUUUUCCUGAAAAGAUAUUUUCACUCUGCAUUCUCUAAAAACAUCACUUGAUAUCUAUAGCACAAAGCCUCAGGGCUCACUAAAUUAAAGGCAGUUAUGCCACUAAAAUUAAUGGCUCUGGGAUCAGGACUGACUUAGGUUUUCCUACAGUAUUUAAAAUUUAAAGAGAAGCCUAAGAGUCUUCCACAAUUCUAAUAUAAUAGUAAUAAAUAAUACCUACUAAAUAGGUCUGUGUCAAACUAGUCAUUUAAGCCAAUAAGUUUAUGAAGCAAAAGCCUGUAGAAAAUUUUUUCCUGUAGCAAAAAGGAGAAUUAGCUGGUGUAAAACCCACAUCUAUCUGCUCAUUUUUAGUUAGUUCAGACAUAAUAUCAGACAAGGCAGUAUUUGUAUCACCUAAGAUACAACAUAGAAUAAAACUAUUCUGUGUUCUGCACAUCAUCCUUUUUACCAACACAGUCAACUGAUUUAAAUAACUAUUUUAAAUUAAAGAUAGGAAAAUGAGCAGCACUUCAUAGACACCUCCAUCACCAGCAGUGAUGCUGAUGGAAAAUAAAUGUUAUUUUAUCAAAGUACAUGGCCCUUCCUAAACAUCCAUAAAAUACCAGAUAUCCUGGAGUGACUGCUGCACUGUCUAAAGGCUUCAAAGUGCUCUCACAAUUUGUUACAAAUUGAAUAAAGUGACAUCCACAAAGUCCAGCAGUUUAACUACAAAAGCCCUUCAGAUUCACACAUUGAGCCUGGCAAGAUGAAGUGCAACUAAUUCUCAUGCACUUUUAUUAAUUACAUCAAAAGAAUGUGAUUUGACCCCAGAACUGUGGUCUUUUCAAGAAGAGAGAGACAACUGCUGCGAAAGCGCCCAGCUGAUGCGCUCGCAGCUUUCCCUGUUCCAUGGAAAACUCCAGGUCUAGAAUACACAUUAAAUCAGUGAUGUUCAUCCCAAAAGGAAGCACAUGGAUUUAAGUGUUGCUCAGCAGAACAGAAAAAGAGGCCACAGAACCACCCUGUAUGGCAGCAUGGCUGUGAUGAUGCAGCACGGUGAGAAACACAUCCUUUAUGCUGCCUGCAAAAAAUACAGAUUAUUACUGAGAGAGCAAUUAAAAACAUCAGCUUUCACUGGACAGUUCUGCUUCUCUCUCCUUGAAUCUUUUCUGCCUCCCUUGCACCCUGCCUGCAUGGCCUGAAGCCCCUCAGGAAGGGGUUCCCACCGAGCAGUGCUCCCCAGCAGCAGGGACAAAGAGCUCAGCUCUCGUUUGUCCCUGCCCAUUGCCACAGCAAACACAGGCAAGGAGGAUGAAAAUGGAAUCUGGACAAAAAUGUACUGUACACAUGAUUGCCACCUAAUAUAGGGACAGGCACAACAUCACCUUAUGUUCAAAUCCUACAUUCAAACCCAAAGACAACAAGCACAGGCACAGCUGCCCACUCAAGCCUUUAAAGCCAUUUCUCCAUGCAAACUGCUUCUGCCACACACCACAACUUUUAUAACCUCUGCUUGUACCCAAAUUGUACAUUUUAACACCUCUGCUCACAACAAGAGACAAACACCAAAUUCUGAAUCUCACUGAUUCCCUCCCCACCUGUGUCAAGCACAAGUGUUUGCAUGUAUUAAGCAAAAUUGCAUGAGUAUAAAAUUGCAAGGAGACCAGAAUGCUCAUUAAAAUCAAACUGCUGACCUUUUAUAACAGCAAUAUAGGAUUGCUAAAGAAACAAUAAAAUUGCAUUGGAACUUUUUCCAUCUGUGCUCACAGCCACAGAUCUCUUCUGCUAAAUUGACACAAAUUGAAAUUAUGUGAUGCAACUCAGCAGAGGUAGAAUGUGAUACAGUAAAAGGAGACCUAAGCAUGUUGGUAAUUAAGAAUUUCUGCUUUCUAAAAUUCAGACCUCAAACAAAACUUCAUGCACAAUUAUAGCCUGAAUUUCUGUGGUUGAUAACAAUCAUUUCAAGUGAAAACUGAGCACUGCUGACACAAGUGUCCAGGUGGAGUCACAAACCCAGUUGUGAAGGCUAAACAUUUCCUUCAGUUUAUAAAGCUGAGGGAGAAAAGACAAGAAAAGCAGGAAAUGUCCCCCCAGGAGCGGCUGUGACACACAGGGCUGUGUCACUGCUGACACUGCAGUGUCUAACACAAAACAGCUUCAGUCCCACACUACCCUACGAAACACAGGCUGGUGCACAACAAAAAUCCAUGACUUGAAAGAAUUUUCCACCUCUUUAUUCCAACUUUAUUAGCAACUGCUGUGGUUCUUGGGGUUCUUAAAUAGCCACUUGUGCAAGCAGAAGAAGGCAAAACCCAGCUGCACCUUGCAGAGCAACACAGGUAAAUGCAGAUCUCACACAGCCCUGGAAAAUCAGGACACUUCCUCUGUUAUAUUCUCCUUUCCACCUGUGUUGCAACAACCUCAAACCCCUCUGUUGGCAAUCCAUUAAAGAGAAAUAAUCAUUUGUGUCUCUAAAGUCCCAGCAAACUUUGACAGAGUUCAGAACAGGUGCUAAUUUAGGGCUGAAUAUAAACUAAUGAGACAUAAAAAUGUCCCUUUGGUAAUUCUUUUCCAAUGCAGCAGGGGGGCAUUUCUUCUCUGCCAGCUCCUCUUAUUAAAUGUCCAUCAAUGAGAAAUUUGGAAUAUCCUUUCAGAGUGUUCCUUUAGGAAAACAGCUGAAACCUCUGAACUGUGCAUCACUUCAAAACUCCUGUCAAUACCACACUUCACAUAAACUCAUUUUUCAAAAUAAUCUACUCAGUUUGGGGGUUUAGAUUUUCUUCCCACUUCCCAAGGCAUAUAUGUUAUAUACUUAUUUUUAAAAUCUUUAAGAACAUAGAAUAAUCUGUCCUCCUGGCCACUGCCUGCCGAGUUUUUUUGCAAACAGCAGGAUUUCUUUAAUGCUUCUGAUUGAAUUUCCUUAUUUUCUCAUUUAAGGGUAGGAAAGCAACUUCUAUUCCGCACCCCUCUUAGCAGAUUGUGGCAAAAGAGAAGAGAGGGGGGAAAAAAACCCUCACUAAAGCUCUGACAGAUGGUACCCAGCGUUUGACUCACGCUGGGCUCAGCAGGACCUAUAGUUUAGAAGGUUAGGACUGUCAAAAAGACUCUGCUUAUCAAGUGAAUAACAAAGUGAGGACUGCCACGCUGUUUCCUAUAGAAAACUUGUAUUUUCCUUCUAAUUCUCGGCUAUCUCCCCGGUGCUUCCAAAACUUUUGGAGGAGCAGAUGCUUUUGCGUUUGAGAAACAAGCUGGGAGCUGCCAUGCCGGGAGCAGCCGGCGGCACAGUAGGCCUGAGCCGAGGAAGCUGUGCCCCCGUGCCGGUGGCAGCGCCGCGCUUUGGGGACCUCAGAGGGGAUUUGAGAGCAGGGAGAGAACUCUUCCUCCUCUCCACUCGCCUCCUUUUGCAGUCAGUGACAAAUUAAUCUGCUCUUAGAUUACUGCCCCAGCCUGAGGAAUCGCUUUAGCGAAGUAAUUGUGGCAAACUGGGAGCAAAGGCAGAAAGGUCUGGGCGCAAGGCAGCGCUCACCAGGCUUUUCUUUUAAAGUGAUUUCACAUCAGGCAGCAUCUAUCCCAGCACAGGGUGUCUGAAGUGACUGCAAAUGUUAGUGAGGCUGCAAGCAGCACUGGAGUCUGCAGAAACACAGCUGAAAGGUGAACAGCUUGUAGCCAUGUUUUCUGCUCUGCACAGUACAAGUCUAUUCAUAAUUUGUGCCUCAACGAAAGCCCAAUUUAAAUGUAAAAAUGCACAACAAGACAUAACAAGUGGGAGAGUCAUAAACGAGGUGAGAAUUACAUGGGCUGAAGGAGGGAGGUUUGUACCAGAGAAACUGCUCGUGGCUGCAGCCAAAGGGAUGGUGAUGGCCUCUGGAGAACACUCAAAUUUUCUCUCCUUUCUUUCCCAACACCAACAAUGAGACUAAAAAAGGGACAGAGAGAAGUGGUCAUAGACAAUAAAUCGUUGCCACUUGAUUACAGAUAGAAUGUGUGUUGAGAAGGGGAAAAUCAUAGUUGUUCCAGUAGGGAUAAAACAAAAGAAAUGGAGCUGGGGAAAAAGUACCCAAACAGAAAUUUAGAGGAAAGGUGCGGUUCUCAGUCCCAGCUGAUUGGGAGGAAUCCAAAAUGCAGCCCUUGGAGACCAGGGUUCCACUGGGAAUGCAGUGUCACAUCCAAACAAUAUCAAAAUUAUCAAUAUUAUUACCUAGUUUUCUUGAGUUAUAUCUGAUCUUUCAACAACAGAACCUUCUCCCCCUUCUUACUCAAAAUUCAAUCUAAAAUAUUACACAGGAUAAAGGAAACAUUUCUCUGUCUUCUUCAACCUGGAUAGAAGUCACAGACUGGGAAAUCUCUGCAGGCAAGUGUGAUGUCUUUAUAGCAAUCUCACAAUUACCUGUAGAGAUUCUACAAUCUGGCACCUUCGUGCACAGUAAUUAUAAACUGUUCACUUCUUCAGCCUCUGCACCUCUGCUGAGCUGAAUUCCAUCCAAAUUGCCACAGUAGCGUGGAGCUGACUGCAAGCUUUUUACUUAAUAAUUUUCAUGAGUCAAAAAUUGAAAACAAAAGCAUAAAACCUGCAUAAAUUAACCAGCUGGAUACUGGGAAAAUACUAAAGGACAAAGUUAUUGUAGGCUAUUUUUCAACUGUGAGAGCUUAAUAUUCCAUUACUAGGCUAUAGCUACUGUUAACUGAGCUGAAUCACAACUGGGUUUUCAUGGGUGAUCAAUUCAUGCAGCACUGGAUGAGUUCAGCUCUUUUGAAGUGAUGAUGAUUUGAAGGGCUGAUGAGUUUGAGUUUGGCUGAUGAACAUUCUCAUAUCAAGCUCUGGACACAGUGGAAGCAAGAAUAAGCCACUUUGAAAGAAGAGAAUACCCAGCAAUGCAGGCCUUCAUGGGAAGAAUAAAGUAACUUUUCCUUUUGUCAUUAAAAAUGUUCCUAGAAUUGAUAUUUGUGAAGUCUUAGCUCAUCCCACUUCAAUGACAUCGAACAAAUUAAUUGGACAAAUAUUUAUUGGGGCAGAAAGAUGUUUGUUCCUGAAACAUCCAGGCAUUGAUCCUGCUCAGAAAUGCAUUCCCAAGGCAGCUCCCAUCACUGCACCAGAACCUCCACCCCAGCAAACUCCCUCCACCUGAACAACACUCACACAGAUUUUGGCUAGAAGGACAUCAAUGGUGAUGCUGAGCUUUUUGUGCAAGACAGAAGAAGCAGGAUUAUGAUUCUGCCAAGCUGGAGGACUCUCAGACACCACUUGUCCCUAUGAAGAGCCCUCAUAUCCACUUGCUUCCUGCUGAGAAGUCAAAUACCUCCCUGGGAUGCAAAGUUACCACUCAGGCUGUGCCUCAGCUCCCAUGGGCACAGGGGAAGCUGAGCUGCCUCCUCCUCAGGGCUGCAGCUCUGCCAGCAGCUGCAGGGGAAGGGAGCAGUGGGGAAGAUGUGGGUGUUUUCCAGUGCAGGAGCGUUAUUCCAGGGGGAGGAACACAAACCUAACUCUACUUGGGUCCAGCAGACAGGAGCACAACAGUGUUCUUGGAAGGGUUUGGGCUCUCAUUGCAAAACUCCACAAAAUCCAGCAGCUGUGCUCCACCCCUUACUGUAAAGGAUCUGUGAUUUCCACACUUUUUAUUACUUCCUCUUUUUACAUCUCCUCUGUUCUCCCUGUUUACAAGAAAUAUAUCCUCAGUCUGCACACCCUUGCUGCAUUCCCAGUUUCCCAGCUCCCAGCACUUGCCAAGAAACCACUACUCUUCCAGAAGAGAUACCACCUUUAUUCUAGAUUGGAAUGUACAUAAAGACUGAAAUAAGGCCAUGAAUUUAAUCUGUUCUUCUCAAACAAGUGUUAACUGACAAAUGAUGAGGGCAGGCAUUUGCAAUACCACAAUUAGGGCUGAUAAUUGUGCAUGUGGGUACAAUUGACUUGUCAGCAUCUGCAAAUAAAACCUGUGGUGACAUCCCAGAAUAACUCCAAACGAUGGCAAAGCCCCACUCAUUUCAAUACCAAGUUUGUUUCAACAUAAGCUUUAUGUAUUAGUUCUGGUCUGGAGGCAAAAUUGAAGUUGGAACACAGAUGCAUUGUCCCCAAUCAGACCCUUACAAUUUAGCCUUGUUUUUAUUGAGCCAACUUGUUCUUGUCUACUGAGUCUCCACUGCUUGAGUAAGCCAUAAAAUGCUGUGCAAUAAAAACAUCAGUUACCUUGUA